UACGUAGGGGGCAAGCGUUGUCCGGAUUUAUUGGGCGUAAAGAGCGUGUAGGCGGCCAGAUAGGUCCGUUGUGAAAACUGGAGGCUUAACCUUCAGACGUCGAUGGAAACCAUCUGGCUAGAGUCCGGAAGAGGAGAAUGGAAUUCCUGGUGUAGCGGUGAAAUGCGCAGAUAUCAGGAAGAACACCCGUGGCGAAGGCGGUUCUCUGGGACGGUACUGACGCUGAGCCGCGAAAGCGUGGGGAGCGAACAGG
RNAcentral lists this ribosomal RNA (253 nucleotides) under uncultured bacterium. RNAcentral's name for it is "partial 16S ribosomal RNA". It matches the Rfam family "Bacterial small subunit ribosomal RNA", at positions 524 to 776 of the family's 1533-position model. The record is from RNAcentral.